UCCGGCUUAUCACCGGCAGUUUCCUUAGAGUGCCCAACUAAAUGAUGGCAACUAAGGAUGAGGGUUGCGCUCGUUGCGGGACUUAACCCAACAUCUCACGACACGAGCUGACGACAGCCAUGCAACACCUGUGUGGGAGCCAGCCAAACUGAAGAAUUCCUUUUCUGGAAUUCAUACUCCCCAUGUCAAGGCCUGGUAAGGUUCUUCGCGUUGCCUCGAAUUAAACCACAUGCUCCACCGCUUGUGCGGGUCCCCGUCAAUUCCUUUGAGUUUUAAUCUUGCGACCGUACUCCCCAGGCGGAAUGCUUAAUGCGUUAGCGACGCCACUGAGUCUUGCGACCCAACAGCUAGCAUUCAUAGUUUAGGGCGUGGACUAC
RNAcentral lists this unclassified non-coding RNA (377 nucleotides) under uncultured Rickettsiales bacterium. RNAcentral's name for it is "contains 16S-23S intergenic spacer region". The record is from RNAcentral. Lineage: Bacteria; Pseudomonadati; Pseudomonadota; Alphaproteobacteria; Rickettsiales.